CGGCAUGCCUAAGACAUGCAAGUCGAACGAGAAAGCCCAAUGAAGAUAGAGUGCUUGCACAAAGUUGAAUUUGGAUUCCUUCUAGUGGCGCAAGGGUGAGUAACACGUGGGUAAUCUACCUUCGAGUCUGGAAUAACAGUUAGAAAUGAUUGCUAAUGCCGGAUGAUAUCGAGAACGAUACGUCAUUCUUUAUUAAAAGGGGCCUCUAAAGCCUCGCUUGAAGAUGAGCCUGCGCCGUAUUAGCUAGUUGGUGGGUAAAGGCCUACCAAGGCAACGAUGCGUAGCCGACCUGAGAGGGUGAUCGGCCACACUGGGACUGAGACACGGCCCAGACUCCUACGGGAGACAGCAGUUAGGAAUAUUCGUCAAUGGGGGAAACCCUGAACGAGCAAUGCCGCGUGAAAGGAUGAAGGUCCUAUGGAUUGUAAACUUCUGUUGUUAGGGAAGAACGUCUUGUAUAGGAAAUGAUACAGGAGUGACGGUACCUUUCAAGAAAGCUCCGGCUAACUACGUGCCAGCCGCCGC
RNAcentral lists this ribosomal RNA (525 nucleotides) under uncultured bacterium. Its description in RNAcentral is "bacterial SSU rRNA". It matches the Rfam family "Bacterial small subunit ribosomal RNA", at positions 40 to 518 of the family's 1533-position model. The record is from RNAcentral.